GAUGAACGCUGGCGGCGUGCCUAAUACAUGCAAGUCGAGCGAACAGACGAGGAGCUUGCUCCUCUGACGUUAGCGGCGGACGGGUGAGUAACACGUGGAUAACCUACCUAUAAGACUGGGAUAACUUCGGGAAACCGGAGCUAAUACCGGAUAAUAUAUUGAACCGCAUGGUUCAAUAGUGAAAGACGGUUUUGCUGUCACUUAUAGAUGGAUCCGCGCCGCAUUAGCUAGUUGGUAAGGUAACGGCUUACCAAGGCGACGAUGCGUAGCCGACCUGAGAGGUGGUUCGGCCACACUGGAACUGAGACACGGUCCAGACUCCUACGGGAGGCAGCAGUAGGAAAUCUGCCGCAAUGGGCGAAAGCUUGACGGAGCAACGCCGCGUGAGUGAUGAAGGUCUUCGGUUCGUAAAACUCUGUUAUUAGGGAAGAACAAAUGUGUAAGUAACUAUGCACGUCUUGACGGAACCUAAGCAGAAAGCCACGGCUAACUACGU
Molecule: ribosomal RNA, 496 nt
Filed under: uncultured bacterium
Lineage: Bacteria
Description: partial 16S ribosomal RNA
Rfam family: Bacterial small subunit ribosomal RNA
Source: RNAcentral